GCGCGUUCCCCUCUGGAGGUUUUGAACCUUCAUGCUUGGCCGGACUUUAACAGUCCGGCCUUUUUUCUAUUGGCC
RNAcentral lists this small RNA (75 nucleotides) under Mesorhizobium tianshanense. Its description in RNAcentral is "suhB". It matches the Rfam family "Makes More Granules Regulator RNA (mmgR)". Rfam says of the family: SuhB later renamed mmgR (makes more granules regulator) was a putative non-coding RNA found multiple times in the Agrobacterium tumefaciens genome and related alpha-proteobacteria. Lineage: Bacteria; Pseudomonadati; Pseudomonadota; Alphaproteobacteria; Hyphomicrobiales; Phyllobacteriaceae. The record is from RNAcentral.